GACGUAGGGCGCAAGCGUUGUCCGGAUUUAUUGGGCGUAAAGAGCUCGUAGGCGGCUUGUUGCGUCGUCCGUGAAAACCCGCAGCUCAACUGCGGGCUUGCGGACGAUACGGGCAGGCUGGAGUUCGGUAGGGGGAGACUGGAAUUCCUGGUGUAGCGGUGAAAUGCGCAGAUAUCAGGAGGAACACCGGUGGCGAAGGCGGGUCUCGUGGGCGAUACUGACGCUGAGGAGCGAAAGCGUGGGGAGCGAACAGG
Molecule: ribosomal RNA, 254 nt
Filed under: uncultured bacterium
Lineage: Bacteria
Description: partial 16S ribosomal RNA
Rfam family: Bacterial small subunit ribosomal RNA
Source: RNAcentral